This is a non-coding RNA of Paramuricea clavata, 235 nucleotides long. The record is from the annotation of a GenBank genome assembly. NCBI's taxonomy places the organism in Eukaryota, Metazoa, Cnidaria, Anthozoa, Malacalcyonacea, Plexauridae.
AAAAUUCAAAAGAAAUGCAUAUUAAUUCUGUAUUUAGAAAUAAGAGGAAGAUUGCAGCCGUUUUUCGUCAACUUUAAACUCGAUUUUCUCGUAAAGUAUUGAUUCGUUUGAGAAGCUAUAUCCAAAACUCGCAAAUGUUCUUCCUCUGAUUUCUAAAUACAGACAAGCUGGUUAAAAAAACUCAGGAUCACCUCGUAUUUUCAACCUGCUUGUCUGUAUUUAGAAAUCAGAGGAA